RNAcentral lists this long non-coding RNA (5303 nucleotides) under Homo sapiens (human). RNAcentral describes it as "non-protein coding lnc-KRTAP9-7-5:5". Lineage: Eukaryota; Metazoa; Chordata; Mammalia; Primates; Hominidae. The record is from RNAcentral.
GAUGAUGAAAGGCAUGUAGAGUUUGAGCUCACUCCCAGCAGGGAAGACCAGUUUGAGUUUUUUUCCUGCUUCUAGGGUGGUAGAAAGCAGCCUUCAGCCUGAGACCCAUCCCUAGAAGAGAAAGAAAAGAAGGAAAGAAAGCAAGCAAGCAAGAAAGCAAGCAAGCAAGAAAGAAAGAAAGAAAGAAAGAAAGAAAGAAAGAAAGAAAGAAAGAAAGAAAGAAAGAAAAGAAAAAGAAAGAAAAGAAGAGCCUUAAGGUCAACCUACAAACUACAGAGUUCCUAAGUUCUCUUUUUUCUCUAUUUUCUUUUCUGCCUGCUUUAAAUCUGCUGUUAUUUUUCUAUUAAGAUCAAAACCACUGUUUGGAUACAACAGGCUUUUUGUUUGCAACCUGGUGAAUUUGUAUUUGUCUCAUGGCUAAAGUUCUGAAGUAAAAGCUAUAGGAUUUCUGUGUGUGUGUUUGUGUGUGUGUGUGUGUGUGUGUGUGUAUCUAUUUAAAAGGCCUUUAUAAUUUUUAUAAUUUUAUGUUUAAUUGGCAAUUAAAUCCAUUUUGACUUCCCUCUAGCACCACCAGACUUUUUCUCUCUGUACCUUAUGAUAUAAUUUUGCUAUUUGAUUUUUGCCUGAGUUGUUUCCUUUAACAUGCAAACUUAAGGCUAUUUAGCUGACAACUCCCUAGGGGAGUAAAACAGGUUAUUAAGAAUUUGAAAGCCUAAGAUAGGGGAAAAAAGCUCCUUAAGUAUCUAUACGAUGUACUUCUAUCAGCAUGCCUACUAUGUCUAUAUAUUUAUGUGAUGUGUACACAAUUUCUCGCUACUGAAAAUAUAUAAAAGAGUUCUAAUUAAUUGGCUUAAGAUAAAAAGCACUUGAAUCUAAUACUUUAUCAGGAAAAAAGAAAAGACUAGUUGAAUGCUUUCUGAAGUUUAUGUAACAAGUAAAAUCUUUAAUAAAUAAGCUAGCUUUAAAAUUAUUGGUAAAGUAAUAUUAGACAUGUCUUAAAAAUUGCCAGCAUGCAUUUUUGUUUGCAUUUAUUAAUCAAGCAAUUUCAUGCUUAUCCCUGUCAAAUACCAUAAGGUGUCAAAAUUUGCCAUGGAGUUACAAAACUGUAAUAGAAUGAUCUUUGCUUGUAUAAUCUUUAAUAAAUAAGACAUUGAUAUUGGUUUAAUAAAAAUAGUCACAUCUUGAAUUUAGUGAGAUUACUGUAACUUCUAAUUUUGUGGUUUUGGUGGUCUAGUCCACAGGCAGUAAGAUUUAGUUUGAGAAUGAACUGUUAUAAUCUUUGUUUCAAAGGUAAACUAUAAACUAUGUUCCUCUCAACGUCUGUUCAGCCUGUGCCCAGGAUUGAACAAGAACAGUUUGGAGGUUAGAAGCAAGAUGGAGUCAAUUAGGUCAGAUCUUUUUCACUGUCUCAGUUAUAAUUUUGCAAUGGCAGUUCCAUAACUUUAAAUGAUGACUAUUGCAGUUUUCAUAAAUAAUCUAGGUAAACAAUUCCUUUUUAAAAAGGUGAACAAUUGUCAUCUAAUUCAAUGCUUAUUUAAAGAUUAUGUAUAAGACAAGUUAAAAGGAACCAGGAAAUCAGAGAGAUGUAAAGAAAGGUAUAAAAAUAAAGAGGAUAAAGAGGGUUCUUUUUGGUAAGGAAGCUUAAAGAGAAAUAAUUUCAUAUGAGAAAAGAUCUUGUAUGGUAAAUUUAGACCUAAAAUAAAAUGAUUGUUUAAGAAAGAUGGAUGUUCAAAACAAACCAGAAAGUCCAAGCAUAUCAUGAACAGUCUGUAAAAGUCAUAAUAAGAGGAUUAAAAAAAAAACCAACAAACUUUUAUAUGGUCAAGUUGUCUGUAAUUAAAAGGAAAUUAUAAUAGUCUUCCUGAAGAUUGGGCUUCAUGUAAAAAAAAAAAAGCAAUGAUAAACAAAAUAGUUAGAGCGAUGAAAUUUUCUUAAGGGAUUGAUUUACUCUUAUUAAAUUAUAAGAGAUUUUAAUUUUUUUAACCCAAAGUUCAACUGUUUACUCGCUGUUUUCUCUCCCCUUCAACUCGUUUGCAGCUCAUAUAAGUUAUUUUCCUUAAAUUCUAUUUGUUAUGGUCUGAUGCUAACAAUGUUUUCUAAAAGUCUAAAGAAAAUGUUUUCUUCCAAAGUAAUAUUCUGUGCAGUGUAGAAGGUCUUUUCUUUUGCCUUUGGGUAAUUGACCUAACAGAUUUUAUGGCUUAUUGAAACAAUGCUAUGCUGUUAUUAUUAAUUUUUGAUUUGCUCAGGAAAAAGUAUCUGAGAUAAUUUUUUAAAAUUAAGGUUAUUACAUCCAUGUAUAUUUCUGUAGGUGCUUUGAAAGUACCUGUGACAUUAAGUUACAGGCCUUUGACUCCUGGGUCUAAAAAGGACACCAAGGUCUGCUAAAUCUUAAGCACUGACAGCAAUUAAAACCUCAUCUUCAGGCCUGGUAGAAGAUGCCAAUCAAAAUAAACUGCAUUCCUGAGACAUAAGGCCAGAAGUAAAAGCUAUUCAACUCCUCAAGGCUCAGGAACUACCACAGAAGAGGUAGGCAUGUGAGAUUGUAAGGGCUGAUUUUGAGAGACAAAAUAAGUUCAGUUUCUCUGCAAGUUAAUAAUUGAUGUCAAAGGCACACUGAUGCAAUACCAGCAUACGGGCCCCUGCGUCAGAUUAAAAAGGUUUUCUUGAAGUGUUAACCGACCCCUUAAUAAAGGUUAUAAAGGUUAAAAAAGGCUUAUGGAAGCUGUAUCUUAUGGUCAAGAUUAAAAUUUUAAAGAUUGAUAAUAAAAUUUCAAAAAACAAAUUUAAUUGGCUUUAUGCUGUUUUAUUUGGGCUUAAUGUUUGAAAAAUUGACUUAUUUUAUGAUGACCUAUCAAGUAUUUUAAACUUUUGAUAUUUGGCAAAGUUUCCAGAAUCAAAUUACAAGUUGUGUAUUUUUCUGACCUAAUUAAUCCUCUAAGAUAUUAGUUUCCCUAAAGUCCAAAAAUGAAAUAAAUGACUUAUUUGGUAUAAAAAUUAUACAGGAAGCAUUGUCAAAUAUAAAAUGGUGUUUGGUUUUCUUUGGGCUGUAUUUGUAUAAAAAUGUUAUUGGUAUGUGCACCAAAAUUAUGGGAAACUCCUAUAAUUCUGAUAUGACAUGGUGUACAAUAUCACUAAUAAUUAUAAUUGUUAUAUAAAAUUAUCGUGUGCCACAGUGGUAACAAAUUUUCUUGUCAAUUGUGUCUUUGAUUAUGGCUGACCUAAAACUUUUUGUCACCCAUGGACAAUUGUUUUGUUUUAGUCCUUUUUAGAAGAUGGUUUUAUAAUCAGCUAUAAAACUCUAACACGUGUUCUUGAAGGCAAGUUUCUAAUAACUUUGGAGACUGUGACAUCAGAAUGGAGGAAAAGCUUUCAGAACUCAUGGAGACCUGAAAUGUUCAUGAAUAGCAAGCAGAACAGGAAUUAACUGCAUGAACUGAACUAAUAGAAGAGCAACGUAAUCUUUUUGACUUUUUGCUUAAAAUGUUGCUGCUCCUUGUUUUCCUUUUUUUAGUCAAGGAAACUUUUAUUUGAGCUGUUGUCAGCUUUUAACAAGUUAGUAUACUCCUGUGAAAAAUAUUUGGAGCAUAUUUGUUUCUCUCUACCUGAUUUUCCCCAGAAUUGGAAACUAUCUGUGAGUAUUCUUAACUUAUGGCAAUACAGUUAUUUGCAUAAGUGCAAUAAUAAUCUGUUUUCAUGUGUAACAAGACACAAUUGGAGAAAUUGGUCAUUUUACCAAGGCUUUGACUGGAAUGGUGUGCUCUCCUUUAAGGAAUCAAAUUUGACUUAUGGAGCCAAUAAAAGCCCCUUGGGAGAACUGGCCUCAUACCUUAUCUACACAGUCCCUGUACAGGGUUCCUGACCUGUGGUAAGUAAAGCAUGUCACUUUCUAACAGUUCCAGGAGCCCCAAGUUUAUCUUGGAACCUCAAGAGCAGAGGAAUUCAUGCAACUCAUAGGUAUUUGAUGGUACAAAUCCAUGGCUAGGCUAAGCUUUCCAAAAGUCUUAUCCGAAAUUCCUUCUAUGGAACAAAGUUCUGAUAGGGACAGGGGGCUGAGAAAUUCUAGGCAGAAAAGGGUAGGUCUCUGACAAAACCCCACCUUCAAGCUGAAAAGCCUUAAACCACGGCCCAAAGUGAGAACUUAUAUCCCUGUUUUCCUGCUUGAAAGUUGCCUUUUUCUAAACCACUCAUGGCUCCAUCCUGUCCAUCCUAUGCCUGUGAAGAUGCCAGACUCAGCUGGCAGAGGCAAGAAGCAGCUGGACAUUGGGAACUACAGCUGGACGUCAGAGAGAAGCAGCUUGAUUCAGAGGGACAGCUUGAUGGUGUAAUCUUGGAGAAGAAUCCAGCUGGAUACAGCCUAACUUUGAGGAAGAUUACCUACCCACCCCAUCCUUUUUCAGCUCCGCUUUCUGCUAAGAGCCACUUUCAUCAGCAACAAAAUCCCCCACAUUUACCAUCCUUUGAUUGGUUCAUGUGACCUCACUUUUCCUGGACACAAGACAAGAGCUUGGGAGCCAGGAGAGCAGAUACAAAAGACUGUCACACUGGCCCUCUGCCCUUGCUGGUGGAGGGCAGCUGCCUCACACAAAAAGGCAGAGGCCUCACUGAGCUGUUGACACUUAAGCCAUCCAUGGAAGGCAGAGUUAAAAGAACACUGUAACAUGCCCUCUGGGGCUAUGGGGGUCGCAGGCACCCCCACCUAGAUGCUGCUGUGGGGCCCACACAGAGUUUGCUCCUGCCGGUGGCCAAAAGCACUCACUUUGGCUCCUGCACUGAUUCACCUGCAUGCUUCCUCCCACAAGCAGGGGACUGCAGCAGGUCCCAGUGAGUGAAGUUUGAUCCUACCGUGCUGCAGUGCCGAUUCCAGCACACGUGCACUCCAGUUCCUGCCUCAUUUGCUUGCAUGCUCGCUCCUGCAAGGAGUUGAGAGUGGCAGGCUGAAUAAACGAGGCACCCGUCACAAGUCCCACAAAGGGGUCAGGGAAACAUCCUGCUUCAGUUCCAUCAAAGGCAAUUUAAAAGCUUAUGCAAAAAAAAAGUAUUACUAUGGCUGCGCUGUAUACAAAUAAUCAGGUCAAGUAUAAUAAAGAAAAUCAGCCCUGCCAUGAUUUGUCUUUAGUAAAAAUGGGAAAUGGGAGAGAGAAGAAUUAUGUUUCAAAAAAUGAUAAUACACCUGUUGUUAGAUUCUAGUCUUGCCUAAUGUUUUCCCAUUUUUAUUAUUUUCUACAGUUUCCACUGAAUUCUAAUUUUUCUUGGCUACAGGUCUUCAAAAGAUUGUUUUCAGUUUUUUUUUUCUUCUUCUUUCC